CAAUUACUCCCGCUGUCCCAAAUUUCUUGUCUUAGAUUUGUCUAGAUACGGAUGUAUCUAAUACUAAAAUGUGACCUGAUACAUCCGUAUCUAGACAAAUCUAAGACAAGAAUUUUGGGAUAGAGGGAGUACUUU
Triticum aestivum (bread wheat) is the source of this 135-nucleotide non-coding RNA. NCBI's taxonomy places the organism in Eukaryota, Viridiplantae, Streptophyta, Magnoliopsida, Poales, Poaceae. The record is from Rfam.